RNAcentral lists this long non-coding RNA (285 nucleotides) under Olea europaea (common olive). RNAcentral's name for it is "long non-coding RNA (OEUR_LNC002598)". Lineage: Eukaryota; Viridiplantae; Streptophyta; Magnoliopsida; Lamiales; Oleaceae. The record is from RNAcentral.
UCGAGACGGGAUUGAAGAUUAUACACACGGAUUGAAGAAAUUUCAUACGGGUGUAUUCUUAUUAUCUUUUAAUUUUGUUUUUCAAUUUCUUGAUUUUGUAAUGAUGAUUAUAGGCUAGGGUUUUUGUUCAUUAGGAAUUUGAUGAACCUUUUGAUGAUUUAAAUUUCCGUUAUUUCAUUAAUUCAACAAUAGUUUCGAUUGGACAAAUGUUUGAUUUAUAUGAUUUGAAUGCUUCCAUAAUUAUUUGGCGAAUUGUUAUGUGAUUGUAGAUGAUUUGUUCUUUGC